This 254-nucleotide ribosomal RNA is filed under the name uncultured bacterium. RNAcentral's name for it is "partial 16S ribosomal RNA". It matches the Rfam family "Bacterial small subunit ribosomal RNA", at positions 524 to 776 of the family's 1533-position model. The record is from RNAcentral.
UACGAAGGGGGCUAGCGUUGCUCGGAAUCACUGGGCGUAAAGCGCACGUAGGCGGCUUUUUAAGUCAGAGGUGAAAUCCUGGAGCUCAACUCCAGAACUGCCUUUGAUACUGGAGAGCUUGAGUCCGGGGAGAGGUGAGUGGAACUGCGAGUGUAGAGGUGAAAUUCGUAGAUAUUCGCAAGAACACCAGUGGCGAAGGCGGCUCACUGGCCCGGUACUGACGCUGAGGUGCGAAAGCGUGGGGAGCAAACAGG